This 426-nucleotide ribosomal RNA is filed under the name uncultured bacterium. RNAcentral's name for it is "bacterial SSU rRNA". It matches the Rfam family "Bacterial small subunit ribosomal RNA", at positions 354 to 772 of the family's 1533-position model. The record is from RNAcentral.
GUGGGGAAUAUUGGACAAUGGGCGCAAGCCUGAUCCAGCCAUGCCGCGUGUGUGAAGAAGGCCUUCGGGUUGUAAAGCACUUUUGUCCGUAAAGAAAAGCUUCGGGUUAAUACCCCGGGGUCCUGACGGUACCGGAAGAAUAAGCACCGGCUAACUUCGUGCCAGCAGCCGCGGUAAUACGAAGGGUGCAAGCGUUACUCGGAAUUACUGGGCGUAAAGCGUGCGUAGGUGGUUUGUUAAGUCUGAUGUGAAAGCCCUGGGCUCAACCUGGGAAUUGCAUUGGAUACUGGCAGGCUAGAGUGCGGUAGAGGAUGGCGGAAUUCCCGGUGUAGCAGUGAAAUGCGUAGAGAUCGGGAGGAACAUCUGUGGCGAAGGCGGCCAUCUGGACCAGCACUGACACUGAGGCACGAAAGCGUGGGGAGCAAA